GAUUAUGGCUCAGUGGUAGAGUGCUUGCCUUGCAUGCGAGGGGCACUGGGUUGGAUCCUCAGCAUCA
Molecule: transfer RNA, 67 nt
Filed under: Marmota monax (woodchuck)
Lineage: Eukaryota; Metazoa; Chordata; Mammalia; Rodentia; Sciuridae
Description: tRNA.Ala
Source: RNAcentral